AUUGAACGCUGGCGGCAUGCCUUACACAUGCAAGUCGAACGGCAGCACGGGAGCAAUCCUGGUGGCGAGUGGCGAACGGGUGAGUAAUAUAUCGGAACGUGCCCAGUCGUGGGGAUAACGUAGCGAAAGCUACGCUAAUACCGCAUACGAUCUAUGGAUGAAAGCGGGGGAUCGCAAGACCUCGCGCGAUUGGAGCGGCCGAUAUCAGAUUAGGUAGUUGGUGAGGUAAAGGCUCACCAAGCCGACGAUCUGUAGCUGGUCUGAGAGGACGACCAGCCACACUGGGACUGAGACACGGCCCAGACUCCUACGGGAGGCAGCAGUGGGGAAUUUUGGACAAUGGGCGCAAGCCUGAUCCAGCAAUGCCGCGUGCAGGAUGAAGGCCUUCGGUUGUUAACG
Molecule: ribosomal RNA, 399 nt
Filed under: uncultured bacterium
Lineage: Bacteria
Description: bacterial SSU rRNA
Rfam family: Bacterial small subunit ribosomal RNA
Source: RNAcentral